This 397-nucleotide ribosomal RNA is filed under the name uncultured Neocallimastigomycetes. RNAcentral's name for it is "eukaryotic LSU rRNA". It matches the Rfam family "Eukaryotic large subunit ribosomal RNA", at positions 127 to 530 of the family's 3401-position model. The record is from RNAcentral. Lineage: Eukaryota; Fungi; Neocallimastigomycota; Neocallimastigomycetes.
GUUUUACCUUGACGAAUUGUAGUUUAAAGAAGUGUUUUCUGUUGGUGUUUUGGUAAAAGUUCUUUGGAAUAGGACAUCAUAGAGGGUGAGAAUCCCGUAUUUGACCAUUACUUCCAGCGUUGUAAUACACUUUCAAAGAGUCGGAUUGUUUGGGAAUGCAGUCCAAAAUGGGUGGUAAAUUUCAUCUAAAGCUAAAUAUUGGCGAGAGACCGAUAGCGAACAAGUACCGUGAGGGAAAGAUGAAAAGAACUUUGAAAAGAGAGUUAAACAGUACGUGAAAUUGUCAAAAGGGAAGCGUUUGACACCAGUGUUGUUUUCUCGAAAAUCAAUUAAAAAGUGUUGGAUUUUGUAUUGUUAAGACCUUAUCAGCUUACUGUACUCUUUUCCUGCUCUUUUU